Molecule: ribosomal RNA, 390 nt
Filed under: uncultured bacterium
Lineage: Bacteria
Description: bacterial SSU rRNA
Rfam family: Bacterial small subunit ribosomal RNA
Source: RNAcentral
AGUGAACGCUGGCGGCAGGCCUAACACAUGCAAGUCGAGCGGCAGCGGGUCCCCGCGAGGGGAUGCCGGCGAGCGGCGGACGGGUGAGGAACACAUCGGAAUCUGCCUGGUUGUGGGGGAUAACGUAGGGAAACUUACGCUAAUACCGCAUGCGACCCUGAGUCGACGGACUGGGGGUGAAAGUGAGGGACCUUCGGGCCUCACGCGACCAGAUGAGCCGAUGUCGGANAGCUAGUUGGCGGGGUAACGGCCCGCCAAGGCGACGAUCCGUAGCUGGUCUGAGAGGAUGAUCAGCCACACUGGGACUGAGACACGGCCCAGACUCCUACGGGAGGCAGCAGUGGGGAAUCUUGCGCAAUGGGCGAAAGCCUGACGCAGCGACGCGCGUGA